AGAUGGGCAAGAGAAGAGAAGUGAGUGGGGAUUGGAUUAAGGUGUGAGGCCCAGGACGGAGGGACGUAAGGUCUGACAGAGAGGAAUCGGAGGCUGUUGCGGACCUCGUCGUCUUUCUUGCUUUCAGUCUUGAUCUCCAUCGACUGAGAUUGUGAAAUACUGCAACGAAUGCAAUCUAAACUCGGACUUGAUGGCGGAGAAAAGGAGAAUCGCUUCUUGAGG
This 222-nucleotide unclassified non-coding RNA is filed under the name Hevea brasiliensis (rubber tree). The record is from RNAcentral. Lineage: Eukaryota; Viridiplantae; Streptophyta; Magnoliopsida; Malpighiales; Euphorbiaceae.